UAUGGACACUACACUGUCUAGUGAAGAA
Molecule: non-coding RNA, 28 nt
Filed under: Mus musculus (house mouse)
Lineage: Eukaryota; Metazoa; Chordata; Mammalia; Rodentia; Muridae
Source: RNAcentral